ACUUAUGGCCAUACCACCCUGAACACGCCUGAACUCGUCUGAUCUUGGAAACAAACAAGGGUUGGACCUGGUCAGUAUUUGGACAGGAGACCGCCUGGAAAUACCAGGUGCUGUAAGCU
This 119-nucleotide ribosomal RNA is filed under the name Sphaeramia orbicularis (orbiculate cardinalfish). The record is from RNAcentral. Lineage: Eukaryota; Metazoa; Chordata; Actinopteri; Kurtiformes; Apogonidae.